This 420-nucleotide ribosomal RNA is filed under the name uncultured eukaryote. Its description in RNAcentral is "SSU rRNA". It matches the Rfam family "Eukaryotic small subunit ribosomal RNA", at positions 592 to 1018 of the family's 1831-position model. The record is from RNAcentral.
CAAUAGCGUAUAUUAAAGUUGUUGCGGUUAAAAGCUCGUAGUUGGAUUUCUGCUGAAGCAAACCGGUCCGCCCUCUGGGUGAGUAUCUGGUUUUGCUUUGGCAUAUGCUUAGAAUUUGCAGCUGCACUUGACUGUGUGGUGUAAAGGCUGAGCCUUUUACUUUGAGGAAAUCAGAGUGUUUCAAGCAGGCCAUCGCCUUGAAUACACUAGCAUGGAAUAAUAUGAUAUGACUGUGGUUUUAUUUUGUUGGCUUUUAGAAUUAGAGUAAUGGUUAAUAGGGAUAGUUGGGGGCAUUCAUAUUUAACUGUCAGAGGUGAAAUUCUUGGAUUUGUUAAGGAUGAACGACUGCGAAAGCAUUUGCCAAGGAUGCUUUCAUUGAUCAAGAACGAAAGUUAGGGAUCGAAGACGAUUAGAUACCGU